UUAAAUUGAAGAGUUUGAUCAUGGCUCAGAUUGAACGCUGGCGGCAGGCCUAACACAUGCAAGUCGAACGGUAAGAGCAUCAAACUUUUAAAUUGAAGAGUUUGAUCAUGGCUCAGAUUGAACGCUGGCGGCAGGCCUAACACAUGCAAGUCGAACGGUAACAGGAAGCAGCUUGCUGCUUUGCUGACGAGUGGCGGACGGGUGAGUAAUGUCUGGGAAACUGCCUGAUGGAGGGGGAUAACUACUGGAAACGGUAGCUAAUACCGCAUAACGUCGCAAGACCAAAGAGGGGGACCUUMGGGCCUCUUGCCAUCGGAUGUGCCCAGAUGGGAUUAGCUAGUAGGUGGGGUAACGGCUCACCUAGGCGACGAUCCCUAGCUGGUCUGAGAGGAUGACCAGCCACACUGGAACUGAGACACGGUCCAGACUCCUACGGGAGGCAGCAGUGGGGAAUAUUGCACAAUGGGCGCAAGCCUGAUGCAGCCAUGCCGCGUGUAUGAAGAAGGCCUUCGGGUUGUAAAGUACUUUCAGCGGGGAGGAAGGGAGUAAAGUUAAUACCUUUGCUCAUUGACGUUACCCGCAGAAGAAGCACCGGCUAACUCCGUGCCAGCAGCCGCGGUAAUACGGAGGGUGCAAGCGUUAAUCGGAAUUACUGGGCGUAAAGCGCACGCAGGCGGUUUGUUAAGUCAGAUGUGAAAUCCCCGGGCUCAACCUGGGAACUGCAUCUGAUACUGGCAAGCUUGAGUCUCGUAGAGGGGGGUAGAAUUCCAGGUGUAGCGGUGAAAUGCGUAGAGAUCUGGAGGAAUACCGGUGGCGAAGGCGGCCCCCUGGACGAAGACUGACGCUCAGGUGCGAAAGCGUGGGGAGCAAACAGGAUUAGAUACCCUGGUAGUCCACGCCGUAAACGAUGUCGACUUGGAGGUUGUGCCCUUGAGGCGUGGCUUCCGGAGCUAACGCGUUAAGUCGACCGCCUGGGGAGUACGGCCGCAAGGUUAAAACUCAAAUGAAUUGACGGGGGCCCGCACAAGCGGUGGAGCAUGUGGUUUAAUUCGAUGCAACGCGAAGAACCUUACCUGGUCUUGACAUCCACGGAAGUUUUCAGAGAUGAGAAUGUGCCUUCGGGAACCGUGAGACAGGUGCUGCAUGGCUGUCGUCAGCUCGUGUUGUGAAAUGUUGGGUUAAGUCCCGCAACGAGCGCAACCCUUAUCCUUUGUUGCCAGCGGUCCGGCCGGGAACUCAAAGGAGACUGCCAGUGAUAAACUGGAGGAAGGUGGGGAUGACGUCAAGUCAUCAUGGCCCUUACGACCAGGGCUACACACGUGCUACAAUGGCGCAUACAAAGAGAAGCGACCUCGCGAGAGCAAGCGGACCUCAUAAAGUGCGUCGUAGUCCGGAUUGGAGUCUGCAACUCGACUCCAUGAAGUCGGAAUCGCUAGUAAUCGUGGAUCAGAAUGCCACGGUGAAUACGUUCCCGGGCCUUGUACACACCGCCCGUCACACCAUGGGAGUGGGUUGCAAAAGAAGUAGGUAGCUUAACCUUCGGGAGGGCGCUUACCACUUUGUGAUUCAUGACUGGGGUGAAGUCGUAACAAGGUAACCGUAGGGGAACCUGCGGUUGGAUCACCUCCUUACCUUAAAGAAGC
This 1643-nucleotide ribosomal RNA is filed under the name Escherichia coli. RNAcentral's name for it is "bacterial SSU rRNA". It matches the Rfam family "Bacterial small subunit ribosomal RNA". The record is from RNAcentral. Lineage: Bacteria; Pseudomonadati; Pseudomonadota; Gammaproteobacteria; Enterobacterales; Enterobacteriaceae.